GUUUGAUUCUGGCUCAGGAUGAACGCUGGCGGCAUGCCUAAUACAUGCAAGUCGAACGGAGUGAAGCCUUCGGGUUUCAUUCAGUGGCGAACGGGUGAGUAAUACGCAGGGAACCUGGCCAUGGCAGGGGGAUACACUCUGGAAACGGAGCAUAAGACCCCAUAGGCAGUAAGGCGGCAUCGCCUUACUGUUAAAGAAAGCUGAAAGGCUUUGGCGAUGGAUGGACCUGCGGUGCAUUAGCUUGUUGGUGAGGCAACGGCUUACCAAGGCGAUGAUGCAUAGCCGGCCUGAGAGGGCGGACGGCCACACUGGGACUGAGACACGGCCCAGACUCCUGCGGGAGGCAGCAGUAGGGAAUUUUCGUCAAUGGGCGCAAGCCUGAACGAGCAAUGCCGCGUGAGUGAGGAAGGUCUUCGGACUGUAAAGCUCUGUUGCCGGGGAAAAAGGGGAAAUGCAGGAAAUGGCAUUUCAUGGAUGGUACCCGGCCAGAAAGCCACGGCUAACUACGUGCCAGCAGCCGCGGUAAUACGUAGGUGGCGAGCGUUAUCCGGAAUGAUUGGGCGUAAAGGGUGCGCAGGCGGUCUGUUAAGUCUGAAGGCAAAGGGAUGAGCUCAACUCAUUUAUGAUUCAGAAACUGGCAGACUUGAGGACAGGAGAGGGCGGUGGAACUCCAUGUGUAGCGGUAAAAUGCGCAGAGAUAUGGAAGAACACCAGUGGCGAAGGCGGCCGCCUGGCCUGUGACUGACGCUGAGGCACGAAAGCGUGGGGAGCAAAUAGGAUUAGAUACCCUAGUAGUCCACGCCGUAAACGAUGAGGAGCAGGUGUUGGGAGUGAAAUCUCAGUGCCGAAGCCAACGCAGUGACUCCUCCGCCUGGGGAGUAUGCACGCAAGUGUGAAACUCAAAGGAAUUGACGGGGGCCCGCACAAGCGGUGGAGUAUGUGGUUUAAUUCGAAGCAACGCGAAGAACCUUACCAGGUUUUGACAUCGGAUGCGAAGGCGCAGAGAUGCGCUGGAGGCUAUCAUCCAGACAGGUGGUGCAUGGUUGUCGUCAGCUCGUGUCGUGAGAUGUUCAGUUAAGUCUGGCAACGAGCGCAACCCCCGUGGUAUGUUACUAACGCAUUUGGGCGAGGACUCAUAUCAGACUGCCGGUGACAAACCGGAGGAAGGCGGGGAUGACGUCAAAUCAUCAUGCCCCUUAUGACCUGGGCUACACACGUACUACAAUGGCGUCUACAGAGGGAAGCGACCCUGAGAAGGGAAGCGAAACCGGAAAAGGGCGUCCCAGUUCGGAUUGAAGUCUGCAACCCGACUUCAUGAAGAUGGAAUCGCUAGUAAUCGCGGAUCAGCAUGCCGCGGUGAAUACGUUCCCGGGCCUUGUACACACCGCCCGUCAAACCAUGGAAGCCGGCAACGCCCGAAGCCGGUGGCAUAACCUUUUAGGAGUGAGCCGUCGAAGGCGGGGCCGAUGACUGGGGUUAAGUCGUAAAAAGGUAACC
This 1497-nucleotide ribosomal RNA is filed under the name uncultured bacterium. RNAcentral's name for it is "16S ribosomal RNA". It matches the Rfam family "Bacterial small subunit ribosomal RNA". The record is from RNAcentral.